Long non-coding RNA from Gadus macrocephalus (Pacific cod), 918 nucleotides. RefSeq lists it as uncharacterized. NCBI's taxonomy places the organism in Eukaryota, Metazoa, Chordata, Actinopteri, Gadiformes, Gadidae. The record is from RefSeq and is a predicted model, not a curated record. The transcript has 2 exons.
UUUUCUGGUGGCUAUGAUGUUUAGUAUUAAGAAUGCUUAUGCAGAUUACUGGUUCCUUCUCAUGUGCCUUUGUUGGCCUAAAUUGGGUAAACUUAUUUUAUAAAUCCACACAGAUUCAAUCAAUAGUUUGAUGUCAUCCAUUCUUUAAUGGUCACAGUUGAAGCACAUUAUAUAAAAGGUUAUUUACAUUGAUAAUUUAAAGGGGCAACACACAACCUUUUUUACAUGAAUGCGCACACACUCGUUAACUUUGUCUCCCCACACACAUACACACACACAAACCGCACUGAGCUUCCUCCACAAUAGUAGCAACAUACAUUUAAAAAAAAUGAAAAACCAUCUAAAACCGUACAAACGUAGUAAAGUGCAUGUUCAACAGACCGGUAAAGACAUGUUGGGUUCAUGUCCACAGUACAGGGAGACGCUGCACUGCUCAGAGGCCCACAGACGUCUGUUUGAGACGCAGCCCUGCUAGUCCCGCCCACGCAGGGCUGUGCUAAAAGAAGACCUCCCACCCAAACCAAAGGUCCUGACUGGGGAUAAAAGACCCCAUCAACAGCAAUGAAAGACAUAUUACAACCGACCCCCCGGGGAAAAAGACAAGAAGUGACCAGGACUGCACUAAACUCCUCUCAGCACCAGCCCUGAUGAGGCCAGAUGUCUUUUAAAAGAUGGGAUACAUCUACAGUUUAAAUUCAAUCAGAGCCAUCACUGCCUUGAGAAGGCCCAGUCGGUGAGCAUCACGAGGGAGGAUGAUGUGGAACGGCUCCGGCCUCCAGGUGUCCCAUCACGAGGGAGGAUGAUGUGGAACGGCUCCCGGCCUCCAGGUGUCCCAGCGGCCCAUGAAGCUACUCAGCAGACUGGCCUCAGACCAACUGAGGUAUUGUGUCGUUGUCACAAACAAACGGCUGAUACCAA